This 591-nucleotide ribosomal RNA is filed under the name uncultured bacterium. Its description in RNAcentral is "bacterial SSU rRNA". It matches the Rfam family "Bacterial small subunit ribosomal RNA", at positions 912 to 1503 of the family's 1533-position model. The record is from RNAcentral.
GACGGGGGCCCGCACAAGCAGCGGAGCAUGUGGUUUAAUUCGACGCAACGCGAAGAACCUUACCAGGUCUUGACAUCCACUUAAGCUCAUAGAGAUAUGAGGUGUGCUUGCACAAAGUGAGACAGGUGGUGCAUGGUUGUCGUCACCUCGUGUCGUGAGAUGUUGGGUUAAGUCCCGCAACGAGCGCAACCCUUACUGAUAGUUACUAACGUAUUAUGGCGAGGACUCUAUUAGGACUGCCGGGGACAACUCGGAGGAAGGUGGGGACGACGUCAAAUCAUCAUGCCCCUUAUGACCUGGGCUACACACGUGCUACAAUGGCCGUUACAGAGAGGAGCAAGCCCGCAAGGGGGAGCAGAUCUCAAAAAAGCGGUCUCAGUUCGGAUUGUGGGCUGCAACCCGCCCACAUGAAGUCGGAGUUGCUAGUAAUCGCGGAUCAGCAUGCCGCGGUGAAUACGUUCCCGGGCCUUGUACACACCGCCCGUCACACCAUGGGAGUUGAUAGCACCCGAAAGUUGUGAGGUAACCGCAAGGAGCCAGCAACCUAAGGUGAGAUCAAUGACUGGGGUGAAGUCGUAACAAGGUAGCCGU